RNAcentral lists this ribosomal RNA (376 nucleotides) under uncultured organism. RNAcentral's name for it is "partial 16S ribosomal RNA". It matches the Rfam family "Bacterial small subunit ribosomal RNA", at positions 527 to 896 of the family's 1533-position model. The record is from RNAcentral.
GUAGGUGGCAAGCGUUGUCCGGAAUUAUUGGGCGUAAAGCGCGCGCAGGCGGUUCUUUAAGUCUGAUGUGAAAGCCCACGGCUCAACCGUGGAGGGUCAUUGGAAACUGGAGAACUUGAGUACAGAAGAGGAAAGCGGAAUUCCACGUGUAGCGGUGAAAUGCGUAGAGAUGUGGAGGAACACCAGUGGCGAAGGCGGCUUUCUGGUCUGUAACUGACGCUGAGGCGCGAAAGCGUGGGGGAGCAAACAGGAUUAGAUACCCUGGUAGUCCACGCCGUAGACGAUGAGUGCUAAGUGUUAGGGGGUUUCCGCCCCCCCCUUAGUGCUGCAGCUAACGCAUUAAGCACUCCGCCUGGGGAGUACGGCCGCAAGGCUG